RNAcentral lists this ribosomal RNA (253 nucleotides) under uncultured bacterium. RNAcentral describes it as "partial 16S ribosomal RNA". It matches the Rfam family "Bacterial small subunit ribosomal RNA", at positions 524 to 776 of the family's 1533-position model. The record is from RNAcentral.
UACGUAGGGUGCGAGCGUUGCCCGGAUUUAUUGGGCGUAAAGGGCGCGUAGGCGGUCACGCACGUCCGUUGUGAAAUCGCUCGGCUCAACUGGGCGGGGUCAGCGGAUACGGCGUGGCUGGAGCAAGCUAGGGGGCAAUGGAAUUCCCGGUGUAGUGGUGGAAUGCGUAGAUAUCGGGAGGAACAUCUGUGGCGAAGGCGACUGCCUGGACCAGCACUGACACUGAGGCACGAAAGCGUGGGGAGCAAACAGG